UAAUACUGCAGUCGAGCGAAUGGAUUAAGAGCUUGCUCUUAUGAAGUUAGCGGCGGACGGGUGAGUAACACGUGGGUAACCUGCCCAUAAGACUGGGAUAACUCCGGGAAACCGGGGCUAAUACCGGAUAACAUUUUGAACCGCAUGGUUCGAAAUUGAAAGGCGGCUUCGGCUGUCACUUAUGGAUGGACCCGCGUCGCAUUAGCUAGUUGGUGAGGUAACGGCUCACCAAGGCAACGAUGCGUAGCCGACCUGAGAGGGUGAUCGGCCACACUGGGACUGAGACACGGCCCAGACUCCUACGGGAGGCAGCAGUAGGGAAUCUUCCGCAAUGGACGAAAGUCUGACGGAGCAACGCCGCGUGAGUGAUGAAGGCUUUCGGGUCGUAAAACUCUGUUGUUAGGGAAGAACAAGUGCUAGUUGAAUAAGCUGGCACCUUGACGGUACCUAACCAGAAAGCCACGGCUAACUACGUGCCAGCAGCCGCGGUAAUACGUAGGUGGCAAGCGUUAUCCGGAAUUAUUGGGCGUAAAGCGCGCGCAGGUGGUUUCUUAAGUCUGAUGUGAAAGCCCACGGCUCAACCGUGGAGGGUCAUUGGAAACUGGGAGACUUGAGUGCAGAAGAGGAAAGUGGAAUUCCAUGUGUAGCGGUGAAAUGCGUAGAGAUAUGGAGGAACACCAGUGGCGAAGGCGACUUUCUGGUCUGUAACUGACACUGAGGCGCGAAAGCGUGGGGAGCAAACAGGAUUAGAUACCCUGGUAGUCCACGCCGUAAACGAUGAGUGCUAAGUGUUAGAGGGUUUCCGCCCUUUAGUGCUGAAGUUAACGCAUUAAGCACUCCGCCUGGGGAGUACGGCCGCAAGGCUGAAACUCAAAGGAAAUUGACGGGGGCCCCCACAAGCGGUGGAGCAUGUGGUUUAAUUCGAACCAACGCGAAGAACCUUUACAAGGUCUUGACAUCCUCUGAAAACCCUAGAGAUAGGGCUUCUCCUUCGGGAGCAGAGUGACAGGUGGUGCAUGGUUGUUCGUCCCCUCGUGUCCUGAAAUGUUGGGUUAAGUCCGCCCC
This 1065-nucleotide ribosomal RNA is filed under the name Bacillus sp. (in: firmicutes). Its description in RNAcentral is "bacterial SSU rRNA". It matches the Rfam family "Bacterial small subunit ribosomal RNA", at positions 49 to 1090 of the family's 1533-position model. Lineage: Bacteria; Bacillati; Bacillota; Bacilli; Caryophanales; Bacillaceae. The record is from RNAcentral.